AUUACGCCNGGCGGUAUGCCCUAACACAUGCAAGUCGUACGAGAAAAUUUUUUCUAGUGGCGGACGGGUGAGUAACACGUGAGAAUCUACCUCUAGGAGGGGGAUAACAGUUGGAAACGACUGCUAAAACCCCAUAUGCCAUUAUUGGUGAAAAAGAUUUAUCUGCCUGGGGAUGAGCUCGCGCCUGAUUAGCUAGUUGGUAAGGUAAUGGCUUACCAAGGCAACGAUCAGUAGCUGGUCUUAGAGGAUGAUCAGCCACACUGGAACUGAGAUACGGUCCAGACUCCUACGGGAGGCAGCAGUGGGGAAUUUUCCACAAUGGGCGAAAGCCUGAUGGAGCAAUACCGUGUGAGGGAUGAAGGCCUGUGGGUUGUAAACCUCUUUUUUCAGGAAAGAAACUUUGACGGUACCUGAAGAAUAAGCAUCGGCUAACUCCGUGCCAGCAGCCGCGGUAAUACGGAGGAUGCAAGCGUUAUCCGGAAUCACUGGGCGUAAAGCGUCUGUAGGUGGUUUGUCAAGUCUGCUGUUAAAGCUUGAGGCUUAACCUCAAAAAAGCAGUGGAAACUGAUAGACUAGAGGAUGGUAGGGGCAGAGAGAAUUCUCAGUGUAGCGGUGAAAUGCGUAGAUAUUGAGAAGAAUACCGAUAGCGAAGGCGCUCUGCUGGGCCAUUACUGACACUCAGAGACGAAAGCUAGGGGAGCAAAUGGGAUUAGAUACCCCAGUAGUCCUAGCCGUAAACUAUGGAUACUAGAUGUUGUGUGAGUCAAAUUGUGCAGUAUCGAAGCUAACGCGUUAAGUAUCCCGCCUGGGAAGUACGCUCGCAAGAGUGAAACUCAAAGGAAUUGACGGGGACCCGCACAAGCGGUGGAGCAUGUGGUUUAAUUCGAUGCACCGCGUUUGGUGUACGAGGUGGCGAACACGCCCAGGGGCAGUUAAGGAAACUCAAAGUGAGAACGCUCGCAUGAAGGGUCCGCCCUAUGAAUUGCGCAAUCGAAGCUAUGACGUGUUAAACUGAGUGUGUUGUAGAUCAUAGGUAUCAAAUGCCGAUCCUGAUGACCCCAUAGAUUAGGGUAAACGAGGGGAUCGAAAGCAGAGACUCACAGUCAUUACCGGGUCGUCUCGCGGAAGCGAUAGCCAUAAGAAGAGUUAUAGAUGCGUAAAGUGGCGAUGUGACUCUUAAGAGAGACGGGGAUGGUAGGAGAUCAGAUAGUCAAAGGUGACGAAAAAAC
This 1229-nucleotide ribosomal RNA is filed under the name uncultured rhodophyte. RNAcentral's name for it is "partial 16S ribosomal RNA". It matches the Rfam family "Bacterial small subunit ribosomal RNA", at positions 29 to 970 of the family's 1533-position model. Lineage: Eukaryota; Rhodophyta. The record is from RNAcentral.